GCAACUGCAAAAUUCCGUUCUUCAGCCAAUGGAGGUGCAGAAAUUACUCAAGCAAUUAGCUGAUGAAAAAUUUUCAGAAGACAUAAAUGGAUGCCAGAUAGCAAAACCUGUUAGAUCUGUUGAAAAAUCAAAGGGCGAAAAAUCAAUAUUCUCAGAUCCGCAUCUACCAUUUGCAAACUCAAUGAGACCAUCUAUUAUGUCUUACUCCAAAGCUGAUGAUCUACUAAGUAUUCAUAUCCGACGAGGAGGUCUUGAUUUUGGUCAAAGUCAUAGCCAGUGGCUUCCUACUGUAUCACAGUCCCCCAAUGCUAUAUCAAUGUCGUUUGUGCCAAUCGCUUCACUUUUGAGUGGUGUAAGGGGCAGUGGAUUUUUAAGCCAUGCAAUUAAUCUUUACCUGCGAUAUAAACCACCAAUCGAGGAACUUG
RNAcentral lists this unclassified non-coding RNA (425 nucleotides) under Hevea brasiliensis (rubber tree). The record is from RNAcentral. Lineage: Eukaryota; Viridiplantae; Streptophyta; Magnoliopsida; Malpighiales; Euphorbiaceae.